RNAcentral lists this ribosomal RNA (644 nucleotides) under uncultured Tulasnellaceae. Its description in RNAcentral is "eukaryotic LSU rRNA". The stretch from base 538 to 644 matches the Rfam family "Eukaryotic large subunit ribosomal RNA", at positions 1 to 108 of the family's 3401-position model. Lineage: Eukaryota; Fungi; Basidiomycota; Agaricomycetes; Cantharellales; Tulasnellaceae. The record is from RNAcentral.
GUUCGCUUAUUCCGUUGUCCUCGGGACGUUAAGGUGCUCUGGUCGAGGAUAAAAGACCCCUAUGACCGAGGUAAACGUAGUCGGUUCUGUGUUACCUCUUUUUUGGAGGCACACGUUAAAGAAUGUUCCGCAUUGUGAGUCUAACACCAGUUGUAAUGAACUUUUUACAACCGGUAGCGCUGGAUCCCUUGGCACGUCAUUCGAUGAAGACCGUUGCAAAUUGCGAUAAAGUGAUGUGAUGCGCAAGUCCACCACUUAUACGUGAAUCAUCGAGUUGUUGAACGCAUUGCACCGCGCCCUAAACCGGCUGCGGUAUGCCCCUUUGAGCGUCAUUGUAUUCCUUCGGGAGUCCUUUUACAGGACCCGAGUUCGGAGUCCUCGGUCCUCUUGUGGAUCGUGUUCUCUUAGAUGCGUCGCGCCGAUUGCCGGAUGGGUUCUCUAAUGCCUGAGCGUGGAGUUCCCUUCCAAGUGCAGAGGUGCUGGACCGGGUGUUGAGCUCGCGUCACCAAGUCCGCCGUCGUGCGGUACUACAACGCAUGACCUCAUUGGGGUAGGACAACCCGCUAGACUUAAGCAUAUUAAUCAGCGGAGGAAAAGAAACUAACCAGGAUUCCCUCAGUAACUGCGAGUGAAGCGGGAUCGGC